UGAUUUACAAAAGUAUAUCAACAUCAUCUUGGGUGCUGCUUUGGCCUUAACCUUCAUUGGGCUCGCCUUGUUAAUAUUCAACAUCAAGGCAAAAAUCUGUUUUUGCUGCAACGCAAGACCUCAAACCCGUGAGGAAACAUCCAAUCAUGGGCAGGAGAGAAACGAUGACACUUUGGUUUAUGCAGCACCGACCAUCGUCAAAAGGAAAAGGGGCAAUCCGAUUCAGAGUUAUGAGGAAUUUAGCACGUAUACUGAUGUUUGUCUUAAGGAAUCCUAUUGAGGCUGAAUAGCACAAUGCUCACAAACUUCAACCCUUUAUAGGGCACUUAUUUAACUCAUUGACUGCCGUUAAUGGCCCUCGACAUCCAAUCCAUUUUGACCGGGAGAGGCUGGCAGCGAUUCACUGCCAGACCUGACAAUCUAUGGCAUUGAAAGAUGAGCAUUAACAGCCAGUCCUCAUAGUUCAAAUGAAUUGGACGCCUAUUAUUGCCAAUGGCUGGCAUUGCGUUUCUAUAAGUAAUACAGUAUGAAAUUUAACACACACACACACAAAAAAAAUCCCCUUUAGAAUGUUAUUGUGGAAUGUUUAUUUCUGUUUUUAUUCAUUCUAAUUAUUUUUAUUUUCAAUGGACAUUUUAUUCCUUAAUAGUUAUAUUUAUUAAUA
Corythoichthys intestinalis (scribbled pipefish) is the source of this 664-nucleotide long non-coding RNA. RefSeq lists it as uncharacterized. The transcript is spliced from 3 exons. NCBI's taxonomy places the organism in Eukaryota, Metazoa, Chordata, Actinopteri, Syngnathiformes, Syngnathidae. The record is from RefSeq and is a predicted model, not a curated record.